CACUUUUAAAGUAUUUUUCAAUCAUCCAAAAUACUCAUAAGAUGUGAAAAAGUCAACAUGUCCAGAAGCAUUAAUUCAAUAGUGUCAAAAUCCAAAAUUACCUCUCCAGGCUGUAACAACAUGCCAAAGUUACCAAAAUAAUAUUUCAUCAAGCUAAAUGUAAAAUCUAUACUUAACCCUUAAGAAAAACACCAACUGAAAAAAAAAAGCCCAUCAUAUUCUUCCAGCAAAGGAUGAUUAUGAUGAAGAGAGAAAAGUAACGCUUAAAAAACACCACCAUAUAAUAAAAAAUUGGGAGUUUUAUUUGACUGCAAGUUAGUAUGAAUAAAUAGGAUGAUGUUAUUGUGGCUACCAAAAAAAUGUAGAUUCCAUUAAUAGAACUGUAAUGUCCUCAGGAGAAAAAUGUUACUCCUUUUUGUAUGAGGCCGACCCUAUCUGCAGGUAUCACACUUGAGUAUCACACUUCAUAAUGGUUAUUGACAGUCAUAUCCAGAGAAAUCUCACAAGAAUAUUAAAGUAUCUAAAAAUCAUGUCAGAAAAAAAAAUCACAAACUGAAGGGUAAAUCUGAGGAGAAUAAAUCCAAGUCUGAGUCCUGGGCAGUCCAACCUGUGACACUGUCCUUCUUCACUCUCUCCUGUGCAAUAGAGAAAAUAGCCCUUCUCCUAAAGUUAAUUUCUCCAGGAACUUUGCCAUCAUCUCAGGGCCCAUACUGUGGCAGCUUCCUCCCCGCCCUCCCUGCCUGUCCCUCUCUGCCACCUCUCCCUCUCUAUUGGAUUCUUCCAAUAAGUACUGGAAUGUGUGCAGUUGUCUGGCUAUUGUUCUUUACUAUCCUCCCCACAGCUGAGUUUCUCAGAUUUGUCUGUACCCACAGUCUCAAUUUCCCGACUCCAGCUCACUCCUCAACCUAUUCGCCAUCAUUUCCCCAUUGCUAUAGCUCAUAGGUGUCUCCUUUCAUCUUACUUGAUGAAAGUUUUGAAAUGUUUCAGUCUUAGCAGUGGUAUGCUGAUAAAUCAGCUGGAAGGCUGGAGGAGACCUAAAACUCUAAAUGUUUGCCAUUCUCUGUGGCAUAAAUACUCCCACCAUUGCCUAUUUCAAACUACCAACAUAACAUCAUGCAGAGUUGGGACGAGAAGAGCAGAAUCGGUUCAUUGAACAGUACAAACCAGCUCCAGCCCACCGCUGAAGGGCUUAUUCUAACACUGUACUCUCC
This 1211-nucleotide long non-coding RNA is filed under the name Equus caballus (horse). Its description in RNAcentral is "lncRNA (ENSECAG00000058878.1)". The record is from RNAcentral. Lineage: Eukaryota; Metazoa; Chordata; Mammalia; Perissodactyla; Equidae.